This 1132-nucleotide ribosomal RNA is filed under the name Staphylococcus aureus. RNAcentral's name for it is "partial 23S ribosomal RNA". It matches the Rfam family "Bacterial large subunit ribosomal RNA", at positions 404 to 1542 of the family's 2925-position model. Lineage: Bacteria; Bacillati; Bacillota; Bacilli; Caryophanales; Staphylococcaceae. The record is from RNAcentral.
GAUCCUGAGUACGACGGAGCACGUGAAAUUCCGUCGGAAUCUGGGAGGACCAUCUCCUAAGGCUAAAUACUCUCUAGUGACCGAUAGUGAACCAGUACCGUGAGGGAAAGGUGAAAAGCACCCCGGAAGGGGAGUGAAAUAGAACCUGAAACCGUGUGCUUACAAGUAGUCAGAGCCCGUUAAUGGGUGAUGGCGUGCCUUUUGUAGAAUGAACCGGCGAGUUACGAUUUGAUGCAAGGUUAAGCAGUAAAUGUGGAGCCGUAGCGAAAGCGAGUCUGAAUAGGGCGUUUAGUAUUUGGUCGUAGACCCGAAACCAGGUGAUCUACCCUUGGUCAGGUUGAAGUUCAGGUAACACUGAAUGGAGGACCGAACCGACUUACGUUGAAAAGUGAGCGGAUGAACUGAGGGUAGCGGAGAAAUUCCAAUCGAACCUGGAGAUAGCUGGUUCUCUCCGAAAUAGCUUUAGGGCUAGCCUCAAGUGAUGAUUAUUGGAGGUAGAGCACUGUUUGGACGAGGGGCCCCUCUCGGGUUACCGAAUUCAGACAAACUCCGAAUGCCAAUUAAUUUAACUUGGGAGUCAGAACAUGGGUGAUAAGGUCCGUGUUCGAAAGGGAAACAGCCCAGACCACCAGCUAAGGUCCCAAAAUAUAUGUUAAGUGGAAAAGGAUGUGGCGUUGCCCAGACAACUAGGAUGUUGGCUUAGAAGCAGCCAUCAUUUAAAGAGUGCGUAAUAGCUCACUAGUCGAGUGACACUGCGCCGAAAAUGUACCGGGGCUAAACAUAUUACCGAAGCUGUGGAUUGUCCUUUGGACAAUGGUAGGAGAGCGUUCUAAGGGCGUUGAAGCAUGAUCGUAAGGACAUGUGGAGCGCUUAGAAGUGAGAAUGCCGGUGUGAGUAGCGAAAGACGGGUGAGAAUCCCGUCCACCGAUUGACUAAGGUUUCCAGAGGAAGGCUCGUCCGCUCUGGGUUAGUCGGGUCCUAAGCUGAGGCCGACAGGCGUAGGCGAUGGAUAACAGGUUGAUAUUCCUGUACCACCUAUAAUCGUUUUAAUCGAUGGGGGGACGCAGUAGGAUAGGCGAAGCGUGCGAUUGGAUUGCACGUCUAAGCAGUAAGGCUGAGUAUUAGGCAAAUC